GUGCCUGCUUCAGCAGUACAUAUACCAAAAUUAAAACAGCUCAGAGCAUAUUAGCAUGGCCCCUGCAUAGGAUGACACACACAUUCCCCAAAGUGUUCCAUAUUCUU
This 107-nucleotide small nuclear RNA is filed under the name Carlito syrichta (Philippine tarsier). Lineage: Eukaryota; Metazoa; Chordata; Mammalia; Primates; Tarsiidae. The record is from RNAcentral.